GCUGCAACUUGCAGCAGAGCAGUGGCCCUGCUGAGCAGCCAGGGAAGGCCCUGAGCCCAUCAGAGUGGCACGCUUUUGCUGGGUUUCCUCCUAGAAAGCCACAGCAGGUGGCUGCACAGAGGAGCUGGAGGGCUGGGAGUUGCUUAUGUGGGCUCAGGAGAUGGGUGAAGUCUGCUUCUGGCCAAAGAUCUGGGUUUGCAAGCUGGGCUGGGGGUGUGGAUGGGAGAGUGGGAUGAUGAAGGCCAGCCAGCAGACGGACUUCAAGGAUCCUGGGGGACACCCCUGGCAGAUCCCUGGCCCUGGCUGCUAUUCAAGGACAAGACAGGAACCCCAGAAUGGGGAAGUCACAGGGCCCAGGCCUCCUGCCUUGGAGGCCUAGCAGGCAGGGAGGGGAACUUGAUCCUGGCCAAUGGGCAGUACUGCAGGACAGCUGGGUGGAGAUUGCAACUUGAGCGGCCUCUUGCUGCUUUUAUUUAUUGAACCCAGGGGCACUUAACCACUGAGCCACAUCCCUAGCCUUUUUAAUAUUUUGAGACAGGUCUCACUAAGUUGCUUAGGGCCUCAUCUAAUUGCUUGAACUUGUGAUCCUCCUUGAACUGCUGGGCUUACAGGUG
RNAcentral lists this long non-coding RNA (614 nucleotides) under Marmota monax (woodchuck). Lineage: Eukaryota; Metazoa; Chordata; Mammalia; Rodentia; Sciuridae. The record is from RNAcentral.